This 323-nucleotide unclassified non-coding RNA is filed under the name uncultured fungus. RNAcentral's name for it is "partial contains 5.8S ribosomal RNA, internal transcribed spacer 2, and large subunit ribosomal RNA". The stretch from base 1 to 52 matches the Rfam family "5.8S ribosomal RNA", at positions 103 to 154 of the family's 154-position model. Lineage: Eukaryota; Fungi. The record is from RNAcentral.
AACGCACCUUGCGCUCCCUGGUAUUCCGGGGAGCAUGCCUGUUCGAGUGUCAUUAAUCUCUCAAACCAAGUGGUUUCUUGUAAAUCGCCUUGGUUUGGAUUUGGACUUUGCUGUGACUCUUGAAGAGACAUAGCUGGUCUUAAAUGUAGUAGCUGGCCCAUUUGAAGGCUUGGUUCUACUUGGCGUGAUAAGUUAUCUGGCGUCAAGGACAUUCUCUAGGGAAUGGCCAACUUUUGUCUGGACUGCUUCUAAUUGUCUUAGGACAAAAAAUUAACUUAUUGACAUCUGACCUCGAAUCAGGUAGGACUACCCGCUGAACUUAA